RNAcentral lists this ribosomal RNA (1372 nucleotides) under uncultured bacterium. RNAcentral describes it as "bacterial SSU rRNA". It matches the Rfam family "Bacterial small subunit ribosomal RNA", at positions 28 to 1381 of the family's 1533-position model. The record is from RNAcentral.
GAUGAACGCUGGCGGCGUGCCUAAUACAUGCAAGUCGAGCGAACGGACGAGAAGCUUGCUUCUCUGAUGUUAGCGGCGGACGGGUGAGUAACACGUGGAUAACCUACCUAUAAGACUGGGAUAACUUCGGGAAACCGGAGCUAAUACCGGAUAAUAUUUUGAACCGCAUGGUUCAAAAGUGAAAGACGGUCUUGCUGUCACUUAUAGAUGGAUCCGCGCUGCAUUAGCUAGUUGGUAAGGUAACGGCUUACCAAGGCAACGAUGCAUAGCCGACCUGAGAGGGUGAUCGGCCACACUGGAACUGAGACACGGUCCAGACUCCUACGGGAGGCAGCAGUAGGGAAUCUUCCGCAAUGGGCGAAAGCCUGACGGAGCAACGCCGCGUGAGUGAUGAAGGUCUUCGGAUCGUAAAACUCUGUUAUUAGGGAAGAACAUAUGUGUAAGUAACUGUGCACAUCUUGACGGUACCUAAUCAGAAAGCCACGGCUAACUACGUGCCAGCAGCCGCGGUAAUACGUAGGUGGCAAGCGUUAUCCGGAAUUAUUGGGCGUAAAGCGCGCGUAGGCGGUUUUUUAAGUCUGAUGUGAAAGCCCACGGCUCAACCGUGGAGGGUCAUUGGAAACUGGAAAACUUGAGUGCAGAAGAGGAAAGUGGAAUUCCAUGUGUAGCGGUGAAAUGCGCAGAGAUAUGGAGGAACACCAGUGGCGAAGGCGACUUUCUGGUCUGUAACUGACGCUGAUGCGCGAAAGCGUGGGGAUCAAACAGGAUUAGAUACCCUGGUAGUCCACGCCGUAAACGAUGAGUGCUAAGUGUUAGGGGGUUUCCGCCCCUUAGUGCUGCAGCUAACGCAUUAAGCACUCCGCCUGGGGAGUACGACCGCAAGGUUGAAACUCAAAGGAAUUGACGGGGACCCGCACAAGCGGUGGAGCAUGUGGUUUAAUUCGAAGCAACGCGAAGAACCUUACCAAAUCUUGACAUCCUUUGACAACUCUAGAGAUAGAGCUUUCCCCUUCGGGGGACAAAGUGACAGGUGGUGCAUGGUUGUCGUCAGCUCGUGUCGUGAGAUGUUGGGUUAAGUCCCGCAACGAGCGCAACCCUUAAGCUUAGUUGCCAUCAUUAAGUUGGGCACUCUAAGUUGACUGCCGGUGACAAACCGGAGGAAGGUGGGGAUGACGUCAAAUCAUCAUGCCCCUUAUGAUUUGGGCUACACACGUGCUACAAUGGACAAUACAAAGGGCAGCGAAACCGCGAGGUCAAGCAAAUCCCAUAAAGUUGUUCUCAGUUCGGAUUGUAGUCUGCAACUCGACUACAUGAAGCUGGAAUCGCUAGUAAUCGUAGAUCAGCAUGCUACGGUGAAUACGUUCCCGGGUCU